This 1753-nucleotide long non-coding RNA is filed under the name Marmota monax (woodchuck). The record is from RNAcentral. Lineage: Eukaryota; Metazoa; Chordata; Mammalia; Rodentia; Sciuridae.
GAUUGGCAAAAAUUAAAAAGUCUGACCAUUCCAAGUAUUGAAAGGAUGUGAAGAAACAGGACUAUCAGACACAGCUAGAAAGAGCAAUAUCCAUGAAAGCCACUUUGGAAAGCAAUUUAAAGGUGAAGGUGAAACUAUUCAUACUCUGUGGCCUAGCGAUUCUAUUCCUAAAAUUAUACUCUGAGAAAUUCUCCCAUAUGUACUUGGAGUCAUGUACAAGAAUGUUCUCUGCAGAAUUGUUUGGAUAACAAAGAACUAGAAAUAACCUAAAUGUUCAAAAAGAAGAACUGAUAAAUUGUAAUGUAAUCAAAUCACAGAAUAGAAUACUAUAAAUACAGUAAAAAUGACUAACUAGUGUUGUAUGAAAGGAGAGAAGGUUAGCAUUCCCCUUGACAAGAAUGGAAGAGGUCCUCGUCCUAACAAGCAUAUGGUUAAGACAUUGCCACCUAUUUUGUGGAAUUUAACCAUCAUUUUUCUAGGAAUUAGAACAGAGAUCUUGCAUCUAAUAGAGGAAAAAGUAGGCCCAAAUCCUCAUCAUGUCAGAUUAACUGACUUCCUUAAUUCAAGAAAUAAAAAAGAAUUAAUAAAUGGGAUGGACUCAAACUAAAAAGCUUCUUCUCAGCAAAAGAAAUAAUGAGGUGAAGAGUGAGCCUACAUUAUCAAAGCAAAUUUUUGCCACUGCCGCAGCCCGGCUGCUGCAGCAAAAUAACCGGGGGGUGACAAAUAACUUGUGUACGUUGAUAUAGCAGGAGUAGGAGCCGUUUAUUGCAGGACAGGAGCAGUAUUUAUACAUUCCACACAGCUUAUCUAAUUAGCAUAAACUAGAUACAUCAGUCAACCAAUAAGGAAUCUCCACACUUAAUGGCUCGCUUUUGUUACUUCUCAAACCACUCCCUCUGGCAUUUUGCCAGGCACCAUCCAGACUUGUUUACGAACUCUAACAUUCCCCUGGCAAAAUGCCAGGUGUUAUUUUUGACUUGUUUACAGACUCUAACAUGCCACAUGCAAGUCAGAGCACUAAUCUCCAGGAUGUAUCAAGAACUCAAAAAAAAAAAAUUAACUCCAAAAAAAAAAAAAGCCCAAUCAAUAAAUGGGCUAAGGAGCUGAACAGUCAGAAGAAGAUAUACAGACAAUCAAUAAAUAUAUGAAAAAAUGUUCAACAUCUCUAGCAAUUAGAGAAAUGCAAAUCAAAACUACUCUAAGAUUUCAUCUCACUCCAAUAAGAAUGGCAGCUAUUAAAAAUACAAACAGCAAUAAGAGUUGGCAAGGAUGUGGGGAAAAAGGCACACUCAUACAUUGCUGGUGGGACUGAAAAUUAAUGCAGCCAAUAUGGAAAGCAGUAUGGAGAUUCCUUGGAAAUCUGGGAAUGGAACCACUUUUUGACCCAGCUGUCCCACUCCUCAAUCUACAGCCAAAGGACUUAAAACCAGCAUACUACAGGGACAUAACCAUAUCAAUGUUUAUAGCAGCACAAUUCACAAUAGCUAAACUGUGGAGCCAACCUAGAUGCCAUUUAGUAGAUGAAUGAAUAAAGAAAAUUACACACACACACACACACACACAGACACAAUGGAAUAUUAUUCAGCAUUAAAAAGGAAUGAAAUCAUGGCAUUUGCAGGUAAAUGGAUGGAUUUGGAAAGUAUCAUGCUAAGCAAAGUAAGUCAAUUCCAAAAAAACCAAAGGCCAAAUGUUCUCUCUGAUAAGUGGAUGCUGCUCCAUAAUGGGAGGUACAUGGGAAAAAUUGAGGAAUUUU